RNAcentral lists this ribosomal RNA (648 nucleotides) under uncultured marine eukaryote. RNAcentral describes it as "SSU rRNA". It matches the Rfam family "Eukaryotic small subunit ribosomal RNA", at positions 617 to 1266 of the family's 1831-position model. The record is from RNAcentral.
GGUUAAAAAGCUCGUAGUUGGAUCUCGGCAAGUAGAGGGCGGUAUGCUUCGUAGCAUUACUGCCCUAUUACUUGUAGUUUUGCCAGAGGUUCCUGGGUGCUCUUAAUCGAGUGUCUAGGGAUGCUGGCAGGUUUACUUUGAAAAAAUUAGAGUGCUCAAAGCAGGCUAUUACGCUUGAAUAUUCGUGCAUGGAAUAAUAGAAUAGGAAGUUGUUCCUAUUUUGUUGGUUUUCGGAAAUCGACUUAAUGAUUAAUAGGGACAGUCGGGGGCAUUUGUAUUCAAACGACAGAGGUGAAAUUCUUGGACCGUUUGAAGACAAACUACUGCGAAAGCAUUUGCCAAGAAUGUUUUCAUUAAUCAAGAACGAAAGUUAGAGGUUCGAAGGCGAUUAGAUACCGCCCUAGUUCUAACCAUAAACGAUGCCAGCUAGCGAUCUGAGGACGUUUUUUUUGUAGACUCCUCAGGAAGCUUCCGGGAAACCAAAGCGUGUGGGUUCCGGGGGAAGUAUGGUUGCAAAGCUGAAACUUAAAGGAAUUGACGGAAGGGCACCACCAGGAGUGGAGCCUGCGGCUUAAUUUGACUCAACACGGGAAAUCUCACCAGGCCCGGACACUGGAAGGAUUGACAGAUUGAGAGCUCUUUCUCGAU